This 433-nucleotide ribosomal RNA is filed under the name uncultured bacterium. RNAcentral's name for it is "bacterial SSU rRNA". It matches the Rfam family "Bacterial small subunit ribosomal RNA", at positions 29 to 507 of the family's 1533-position model. The record is from RNAcentral.
AAUGAACGCUGGCGGCAGGCCUAACACAUGCAAGUCGAACGGAUCCUUCGGGAUUAGUGGCGGACGGGUGAGUAACGCGUGGGAACAUACCCUUUGGUACGGAAUAGCCUCGGGAAACUGGGAGUAAUACCGUAUGUGGUCGAGAGACGAAAGAUUUAUCGCCAAAGGAUUGGCCCGCGUUGGAUUAGGUAGUUGGUGGGGUAAUGGCCUACCAAGCCGACGAUCCAUAGCUGGUUUGAGAGGAUGAUCAGCCACACUGGGACUGAGACACGGCCCAGACUCCUACGGGAGGCAGCGGUGGGGAAUCUUAGACAAUGGGGGAAACCCUGAUCUAGCCAUGCCGCGUGAGCGAUGAAGGCCUUAGGGUUGUAAAGCUCUUUCAGCUGGGAAGAUAAUGACUGUACCAGCAGAAGAAGCCCCGGCUAACUCCGUG